AACGGCCAUACCAUGCUGAAUAUACCGGUUCUCGUUAGAUCACCGAAGUCAAGCAUCAUUGGGCGCGAUCAGUACUUGGGUGGGUGACCACCUGGGAACACUGCGUGCCGUU
Molecule: ribosomal RNA, 112 nt
Filed under: Caerostris extrusa
Lineage: Eukaryota; Metazoa; Arthropoda; Arachnida; Araneae; Araneidae
Source: RNAcentral